This 398-nucleotide ribosomal RNA is filed under the name uncultured bacterium. RNAcentral's name for it is "bacterial SSU rRNA". It matches the Rfam family "Bacterial small subunit ribosomal RNA", at positions 361 to 776 of the family's 1533-position model. The record is from RNAcentral.
AUAUUGGACAAUGGGGGCAACCCUGAUCCAGCAAUGCCGCGUGAGUGAAGAAGGCCUUAGGGUUGUAAAGCUCUUUUGCCCGGGAAGAUAAUGACUGUACCGGGAGAAUAAGCCCCGGCUAACUCCGUGCCAGCAGCCGCGGUAAUACGGAGGGGGCUAGCGUUGUUCGGAAUUACUGGGCGUAAAGCGUACGUAGGCGGUUUACCAAGUAGGGGGUGAAAUCCCGGGGCUUAACCCCGGAAUUGCCUUCUAGACUGGUAGACUUGAGACCGAGAGAGGUAAGGGGAAUUCCGAGUGUAGAGGUGAAAUUCGUAGAUAUUCGGAAGAACACCAGUGGCGAAGGCGCCUUACUGGCUCGGCACUGACGCUGAGGUACGAAAGCGUGGGGAGCAAACAGG